GUCCGGCGAUAAAGUCUGGCUGAUAGGGUGGUGGCUCGGCCGGCUGCUUUCUCGCAGGCGUAUAGCAUGAGCAAAUCAGAAUGCUCAAAGUAGGCCUACGCGCUGAAUGUGUUAGCAUGGAAUAAUAAAAUAGGACUCGAGUCUGUUUGUUGGUUUACUUGACAUUGAGAAAUGAUGAAUAGGAACGGUUGGGGGCAUUUGUAUUUGGCCGCUAGAGGUGAAAUUCUUGGAUUGGCCGAAGACAAACUACUGCGAAAGCAUUUGACACAGGACGUUUUCAUUGAUCAGGGACUAAAGUUGAGGGAUCGAAGACGAUUAGAUACCGUCGUAGUCUUAACCACAAACUAUGCCGACUAGCGAUUGGGCCUUGACCUUUGGUCAGGUUCAGCAGCUUAGCGAAAGUAAAGUCUUUGGGUUCUGGGGGGAGUAUGGGACGCAAGGCUGAAACUUAAAGGAAUUGACGGAAGGGCACCACCAGGAGUGGAGCCUGCGGCUUAAUUUGACUCAACACGGGGAAACUCACCAGGUCCAGACAUAAGAAGGAUUGACAGAUUGAAAGCUCUUUCUAAAUUUUAUGGGUGGUGGUGCAUGGCCGUUCUUAGUUCGUUGAGUGAUUUGUCUGGUUAAUUCCGAUAACGAACGAGACCUUAUUCUGCUAAAUAGCUGGGCCAACUUUUUAGUUGGUUGUAUGGUGACUUCGGUCACCCCAGCUUCUUAGAGAGACUACUGAAUUCAAUUCGGUGGAAGUUUUAGGCAAUAACAGGUCUGUGAUGCCCUUAGAUGUUCUGGGCCGCACGCGCGCUACACUGACAAAAUCAGCGAGUUUUUUUCCUUGGCCGGAAGGUCUGGGUAAACUUUUGAAACUUUGUCGUGCUGGGGAUAGAACAUUGCAAUUAUUGUUCUUCAACGAGGAAUUCCUAGUAAGCGCAAGUCAUCAGCUUGCGUUGAUUACGUCCCUGCCCUUUGUACACACCGCCCGUCGCUACUACCGAUUGAAUGGCU
Molecule: ribosomal RNA, 1002 nt
Filed under: uncultured fungus
Lineage: Eukaryota; Fungi
Description: SSU rRNA
Rfam family: Eukaryotic small subunit ribosomal RNA
Source: RNAcentral